CCUCCCGAGUGCUUGCACUCAAUUGGAAAGAGGAGUGGCGGACGGGUGAGUAACACGUGGGUAACCUACCCAUCAGAGGGGGAUAACACUUGGAAACAGGUGCUAAUACCGCAUAACAGUUUAUGCCGCAUGGCAUAAGAGUGAAAGGCGCUUUCGGGUGUCGCUGAUGGAUGGACCCGCGGUGCAUUAGCUAGUUGGUGAGGUAACGGCUCACCAAGGCCACGAUGCAUAGCCGACCUGAGAGGGUGAUCGGCCACACUGGGACUGAGACACGGCCCAGACUCCUACGGGAGGCAGCAGUAGGGAAUCUUCGGCAAUGGACGAAAGUCUGACCGAGCAACGCCGCGUGAGUGAAGAAGGUUUUCGGAUCGUAAAACUCUGUUGUUAGAGAAGAACAAGGACGUUAGUAACUGAACGUCCCCUGACGGUAUCUAACCAGAAAGCCACGGCUAACUACGUGCCAGCAGCCGCGGUAAUACGUAGGUGGCAAGCGUUGUCCGGAUUUAUUGGGCGUAAAGCGAGCGCAGGCGGUUUCUUAAGUCUGAUGUGAAAGCCCCCGGCUCAACCGGGGAGGGUCAUUGGAAACUGGGAGACUUGAGUGCAGAAGAGGAGAGUGGAAUUCCAUGGUUUAACCG
This 635-nucleotide ribosomal RNA is filed under the name Enterococcus faecalis. Its description in RNAcentral is "bacterial SSU rRNA". It matches the Rfam family "Bacterial small subunit ribosomal RNA", at positions 68 to 681 of the family's 1533-position model. Lineage: Bacteria; Bacillati; Bacillota; Bacilli; Lactobacillales; Enterococcaceae. The record is from RNAcentral.